This 503-nucleotide ribosomal RNA is filed under the name uncultured bacterium. Its description in RNAcentral is "bacterial SSU rRNA". It matches the Rfam family "Bacterial small subunit ribosomal RNA", at positions 8 to 526 of the family's 1533-position model. The record is from RNAcentral.
AGAGUUUGAUCCUGGCUCAGAAUCAACGCUGGCGGCGUGCCUCAGACAUGCAAGUCGAACGAUUAAAGCUCCCUUCGGGGAGUGCAUAAAGUGGCGCACGGGUGAGUAACACGUAAGUAAUCUACCCUCGAGUGGGGAAUAACGUCCGGAAACGGGCGCUAAUACCGCAUAAUGCAGCGGCACCGCAAGGUGACAGUUGUUAAAGAUUUAUCGCUUGAGGAGGAGCUUGCGGCAGAUUAGCUAGUUGGUAAGGUAAUGGCUUACCAAGGCUACGAUCUGUAACCGGUCUAAGAGGACGGUCGGUCACACUGACACUGAAUAACGGGUCAGACUCCUACGGGAGGCAGCAGUCGGGAAUUUUGGGCAAUGGGCGAAAGCCUGACCCAGCAACGCCGCGUGAAGGAUGAAGUAUUUUCGGUAUGUAAACUUCGAAAGAAUGGGAAGAAUAAAUGACGGUACCAUUUAUAGGUCCGGCUAACUACGUGCCAGCAGCGCGGUAAUAC